Molecule: long non-coding RNA, 1184 nt
Filed under: Phoenix dactylifera (date palm)
Lineage: Eukaryota; Viridiplantae; Streptophyta; Magnoliopsida; Arecales; Arecaceae
Description: long non-coding RNA (PDAC_LNC013118)
Source: RNAcentral
ACACUCUGUGGAAUUUGGCCCGAGAGGAGAUUUUGAUGGGAUCAACCCGGUGGGGGAGAGGAGGAAUGAAUUCCCAAGGAGAACUCUCCUCCUCUUAUAGGCUCAGCAUCCCCUCUCUUUCUUCCUCUCUGGUUGUUCCGAUAAGGAUGUGGAGGUUUAUCUCUUUCGUGGAUGAUGGGAUACUUGGACGUGGGAGGAGAUUGGGGGUCUGUUUCGAAGCAGAGGAAGAUGUGGAGGAAGCUCACGAUGCUUGCUUUCCGGACAUUGGGAUAAGGAUGCAAGGAGGUUCGGAUCCGUGACCUGUUGUCCGUAUGUUACUACUAUUAGACCUCCAACCCGGAGAGACUCUACAAUCAUUAUGAGCGGAUAAACCUGAAGUCUGGGGCGCAUGCGGAAGCUUAGAUUUGCUGGGAGGAAGUGGUUCUGAAGCAAGGGAAUUUUGAGAUGCAGGGGAAGAAGUUUGAUCCGAGAAGAUGAUGAUGGAUGCGAAGAUCGUGGGAUCUAGCUUCGGAAUGAAUGCCUAAGCCUUAUCCCGUGGAUGAUGGGAGCAAUCCGGAACGAGAGGAAGCUCGGGAAGCUUGGGACGUUGGGAGUAAUCUGGCAGAAGGUUGCUGGUUCUCAUCCGGAAGGGAAGGAAUGGUUCCGAAAUAGGGGAAGAUGCAGGACAUGGCCGACUCGGGAUGAACUCGUGGAGCGGAAUAGCUGGCUUGAUUCGUGAGGAAGAUGAAAUGAGCUGGGAGCAGGGGAUUUUGUUUGGAUAAGGAUGGAAGAGAGAACUAGAAUCGGCUGGGAGUUAUCCGUGGGUGGUUGAAGGUCAUCGCGAACAGGAGAAAGAACCAAUGUGUUCAUGGUGAUGCUGAGAAUUCCGUGGCGUUCGGGAUGAAGUUGUUUGGGACGCAAUCAGCUCGGGAUGAGGAUUUGAUCCAGUUGGAUGAAGGAUUAAUAAGCUUGGGAUGAGGGUGUUGUUUGGUUUGAAAGUUUGAUUUCCUUCGGCUGGGAGCAGAUUCAUUCGGCUGGGAAUAGAGGACGAUGCAGGACGUGGGCGUUUGAGAAGAUUACGAACGGAUACGAGAUGAUCUUGGGAUGCUGGGAUCUAGCGGAAGAAGCUGGGUUUUUGAAUCCAUCCCAUGGAUCAUGCGGAGGUCUUGUUUUGGUUUUGUCCGUGGGACACGGGAACUGAGAAG